Molecule: transfer RNA, 73 nt
Filed under: Kofleriaceae bacterium
Lineage: Bacteria; Pseudomonadati; Myxococcota; Haliangiales; Kofleriaceae
Description: tRNA-Val
Rfam family: tRNA
About the family: Transfer RNA (tRNA) molecules are approximately 80 nucleotides in length. Their secondary structure includes four short double-helical elements and three loops (D, anti-codon, and T loops). Further hydrogen bonds mediate the characteristic L-shaped molecular structure. tRNAs have two regions of fundamental functional importance: the anti-codon, which is responsible for specific mRNA codon recognition, and the 3' end, to which the tRNAs corresponding amino acid is attached (by aminoacyl-tRNA synthetases). tRNAs cope with the degeneracy of the genetic code in two manners: having more than one tRNA (with a specific anti-codon) for a particular amino acid; and 'wobble' base-pairing, i.e. permitting non-standard base-pairing at the 3rd anti-codon position.
Source: RNAcentral
GGGCGGAUAGCUCAGCGGUUAGAGCGUCGCCCUUACACGGCGAGGGUCGCUGGUUCGAAUCCUGCUCCGCCUA